UACGAAGGGGGCUAGCGUUGCUCGGAAUCACUGGGCGUAAAGAGCUCGUAGGCGGUUUGUCGCGUCUGCUGUGAAAACCUAAGGCUCAACCUUGGGCUUGCAGUGGGUACGGGCAGACUAGAGUGUGGUAGGGGAGACUGGAAUUCCUGGUGUAGCGGUGAAAUGCGCAGAUAUCAGGAGGAACACCGAUGGCGAAGGCAGGUCUCUGGGCCACUACUGACGCUGGAGAAGCGGAAAGCAUGGGGAGCGAACAGG
RNAcentral lists this ribosomal RNA (255 nucleotides) under uncultured bacterium. RNAcentral describes it as "partial 16S ribosomal RNA". It matches the Rfam family "Bacterial small subunit ribosomal RNA", at positions 524 to 776 of the family's 1533-position model. The record is from RNAcentral.